This 429-nucleotide ribosomal RNA is filed under the name Pseudomonadota bacterium. RNAcentral's name for it is "Proteobacteria bacterium partial 16S ribosomal RNA". It matches the Rfam family "Bacterial small subunit ribosomal RNA", at positions 355 to 776 of the family's 1533-position model. The record is from RNAcentral. Lineage: Bacteria; Pseudomonadati; Pseudomonadota.
UGGGGAAUAUUGGACAAUGGGCGAAAGCCUGAUCCAGCCAUGCCGCGUGUGUGUAGAAGGUCUUCGGAUUGUAAAGCACUUUAAGUUGGGAGGAAGGGCAGUAAGCGAAUACCUUGCUGUUUUGACGUUACCGACAGAAUAAGCACCGGCUAACUCUGUGCCAGCAGCCGCGGUAAUACAGAGGGUGCAAGCGUUAAUCGGAAUUACUGGGCGUAAAGCGCGCGUAGGUGGUUCGUUAAGUUGAAUGUGAAAGCCCCGGGCUCAACCUGGGAACUGCAUCCAGAACUGGCGAGCUAGAGUAGGGCAGAGGGUGGGGGAAUUUCCUGUGUAGCGGUGAAAUGCGUAGAUAUAGGGAGGAACACCAGUGGCGAAGGCGGCCACCUGGGCUCAUACUGACGCUGAGGUGCGAAAGCGUGGGGAGCAAACAGG